GUGGGGAAUAUUGGACAAUGGGCGAAAGCCUGAUCCAGCAAUGCCGCGUGAGUGAUGAAGGCCUUAGGGUUGUAAAGCUCUUUUACCAGGGAUGAUAAUGACAGUACCUGGAGAAUAAGCUCCGGCUAACUCCGUGCCAGCAGCCGCGGUAAUACGGAGGGAGCUAGCGUUGUUCGGAAUUACUGGGCGUAAAGCGCACGUAGGCGGCUACUCAAGUCAGAGGUGAAAGCCCGGGGCUCAACCCCGGAACUGCCUUUGAAACUAGGUAGCUAGAAUCUUGGAGAGGUCAGUGGAAUUCCGAGUGUAGAGGUGAAAUUCGUAGAUAUUCGGAAGAACACCAGUGGCGAAGGCGACUGACUGGACAAGUAUUGACGCUGAGGUGCGAAAGCGUGGGGAGCAAACAGGAUUAGAAACCCUAGUAGUCC
This 425-nucleotide ribosomal RNA is filed under the name uncultured bacterium. RNAcentral describes it as "bacterial SSU rRNA". It matches the Rfam family "Bacterial small subunit ribosomal RNA", at positions 354 to 796 of the family's 1533-position model. The record is from RNAcentral.